Long non-coding RNA from Arachis stenosperma, 1177 nucleotides. RefSeq lists it as uncharacterized. The transcript has 3 exons. The record is from RefSeq and is a predicted model, not a curated record. NCBI's taxonomy places the organism in Eukaryota, Viridiplantae, Streptophyta, Magnoliopsida, Fabales, Fabaceae.
UUUAUUUGGCACACAUUUAAAUUUAUAAAAAUAUAAAAUUACAAUUAAAUUCUUAAAAAAAAACCCUAACCCUACUACCCUAGACUCUUGCUAAUCCAAGCCCAAGCCAACACAAACCCAAUUUCCCAAUUUCAAUGGCUCACCAGUCUCUCAAUCUAACCCCAAAAAAGCCCUACCCUUUCACUACCCACCCCACCCAGUAAGAGCUUCAUUCUCGUUCUCCUCUCUUGGUAGCAAUCUAAUGAAAGCUAGAAAUCAAUUUCAUAAGAGCUUCAUUCAUAUAGCGCGUUCUCCUCUCCUUCUCUCGCGAAGUCAAUUGUGUAAGGGCGCAAACCACUUCUCUGGAAUCAUCACCGCUGUGGUGAUCCCCCUCCGUCAAUUCCAGUAGUCUCGUCAUCCCCAUUGAUGUAUCCAUCACUGAGCCACUUCCUCGCCCUUCCUCCAUGAUUGCGCGCACCACUUCAUUAGAAAAGGAGCAGAAACAAGAAACACACCUCCGCGCUAGAAUCGUAGAAUCGUUGCCGACGUUCCCCUCUACCGUCAGUACAGGCUGCAUUGUGCUUCCCCUUGCCAGUGGGUCCAUCCGAUUUGCUCCCUCCUUCCUCUGGUUCUAUUCUUAGGUCUGCUUAGCUUCUUGGUUCAGAUUACUUGUAUGUAAAAAAUUACUCCUUCAAUCUUGUGUUUUCUUUUUGGUUUCAGAAUUGAAAUUGGUUCCCACUAAUCUUUUUCUUGAUGGUUUCGAUUUUAGUUAAUGUGUAUGGUUUGUCUAAAAAUCUCCUUUUCAAUUUGGGGAAAAUUUCUUUUUCAUUUCAGAUUUCAAUUUGGUUCACAUUAUGAUUUUUCUUCUUGAUUUGGUUUCAAUUUUUGGGGGUUUGUUUUCGUUCUUGCCAAGAACACAGGACAAAAGGGGGUGAAGCAAAGGAAAGGCCUGCAAGACGCACCGAUACCGCUGUGAAGAGUUGUCGCCGCAGCGCGCUGCACCUCCAUUCUGGGUCUUUCCUAUCUGAAUACUGCCAAAGCAGGAGAGAAGAAAAUAGGAAUGCAAUCAAGUGGUACUAAAGAAGAUAACAUAUUCUCCCUUACAAAGCAACUUUCUCUAAAUUCCUUUGGCAAAAACAAGUCUUCAAAUAGCUAGAUUAUUACGAUAACAAAAGCUAGUUUCUUAUUUAUUUCUUCA